CCCCCCCCCCCCCCCAAACUCCACCUCUCUCUUUCGUGCCUUUCCCUCUCUGCAAACCCACAUGUCCACCCAAACAUCAUUUUCCCUCGCCGUCCGCACACCUUUCAACUAUUUGCAUUCACUGGUGCCACUGCCAUCGUUCAACGAGUCGAGGCGUUGCAACGUUCUCCGGGUCUGAAGCUAUUCGCUGCAGCUCUGUUCGUUGUCGCACACCGUAGCCAGAUCCCUACCGUUCUGUCUGUCUCACGUAGGGAUUGCUGCAGUCGAUGACUUGCUUCGGGUUGCGUUCAACCGACCAUCCGACGACCGCUUUUCAGAUCUGGCCGACACCCAUUAGUCUUUUCGUUGUCGGACGUUGUCGCUUAGGUUUUCGCUGGAUCUUGAGUUUUGGUGUAAGUUUUUAGGUUUUUCAUGAAAACUUACCCAUUUAAAUUUUUUCCCAAUACUUAUUUAAUCCAUAAAUUUUGGAUGAUGGAUUCAGGAAUUUGAGGAUAUUAAAUUGCCAUCCAAUAGUGUUUGAGGUUCGAUUUUGGUGUUUUGGGCUAAAUUUGAUUUGACCUUAGGUUUUGGGGCUUGAACUUGAAUUCUUGGAAGGAGUUGUGUAGGCAAAAGUUUGUUGUCCAGUUGUUUCAGUGAUUGACUUUGGAGGUUUGAGUUGAGACCUUGAGGUGGUUUUGGAUCAAACCACUACUGGGUAAGGCGCGUCGUUAAUUUUUUGGGUAAGGGGUCACAGUUAGUCUCAUGCUCCCUUUGGUAUUUAUAGGCAAUCUAAGGCCGUACUCGUCAUCCUCUCAAUCUCCAUACCCAUGACACCUCCUACUUCAUGAAAAUCCAAGUGUCUUCUUCAUGUUGAGCCAACGCAUAGCCUUUGCCACCACUUACUUGCAUGUAAGACCUAGGUGUCUUUACCAUGCAAUGUCUAACACAUGGCUUCUUUCGAGGUUUCAAUCCAAUACUUUGCAUGCUCUUCCCUGGUCUCCUAGGCGUCCACCUCAAGCUUUGACACUUAGUCAAUUUCAUGUCAUGCUGCCACUUAACUUCCUAAGGUAUCCACUUUCACGCUGCCCACCUCCUCCUUACAAAUUUGGUCCAACUAGUGUAUGCAUAACCUAAAUCUUCACCCAUCAUGUGUCCAAAUGUGUCCAUUUCUCAAGGCAUGCAUCCAACCACUCCAUUUUCCACCCUCUAGGCGCCCAACAUGCCCAUACUAGGGUGUGUGUCCAACAAAUUUGUCCAACACUUAGUCAAAUUUUCUCCCCUAAACAUACCAUGCGUUCAACUUUUCCUCCCCAACUUUUGCAUGCCUAAUUUCACCACUUGGAGGUUCUCCUAAGUCUUUUAACUCCCUCCAAAGCAUAGUCUAAGCACUUAGUCACAUUUCCACUUCUCUAGUGGUUAUGCGUCCAACUCUCACUUCCAACACUUAGCUAAAUUCCCGACUAAAGACACCAUGCGUUCACCAUCCUUAGACGAUGCAUCCAACCCUAUUUCCUCGCUUUAGUUGUGCAAAGUUCAAUGCAUGGUUGUCCAAAACUUAACAAAUUCUUCCCUCUAUGGAUUAAACUAUGCGUCCAGCUCAUGCUUUUAACACUUGGGCAAUUUUCAGACAAUGCUCUGAGUUCAAACUUUCUCUCUCAAUGUUCAAACGCAUGGCUCCAUUUUCUCUCAAGUGUUUAGGGUAUCUUUCUCACAUGCUCAACUAUGCUUCCAACCUUCAUUUCCAGUAUUUAGCUAAAUUUUGCUCCUUUUAGGCCAACCCAUGCCUUUAAGCUUUUCUAGCCCAAAGCAUAGUUAGAAUACUUAGCCAAAAUUCUGACUUCAUCCUAUUAUGCUUCCAACUCUUGAAUCCCAACAUUUUUCUCCAGAUACACAAAACUUUUCUUCUCUUCUUAUCUUCUAGACCAACGCAUACUUCACUCCUAACCACAUGGUCCCAACAUCUAAAAAUUUUCUAAGUGCUAAUGCUUCCUCAAAAGCAUAAUUCAGACACUUAGCCAAAAUUCUACCCUCUAAAUUUUCAGCUUAGGUUCCCAUCAAGUAUUCUUAACUCCAAGGCAUAGUUUAGGGACUUAGCCAAACUUUUUCCUUCCAAGACUUUAAUUCCGAGUUCUUCCUCAACCUAAGAAAUCCUAUGGGAGCUCGGGUGUCACAAUCAACUUGCUUGCAAUGGUUAUAUCAUGAAUGCAACUUGUUCUAUAGCGCAAUAAGAGUGCAACUAUAGAUCUUUAGUGGAGUGCCUUAUAAUUAAUGAUGAAGUUUAAUUAAUUAAAGAGUUUAGUUAAUUAAUCUAGUAUCAUUGGAGAUUAUAAUUUGUAGGUCCAUAAGGUCCCUUUGUUAACUGAUAAUAGAUCAACAUGAAUUAAUGAUAUUGAAAAAAAAUUGUAAUGUUUAAAUAGGAAAAAUAUAUUCUUCUUAUUAGAUACAAUUAAUAUAAGUAUUAUUGUAUUAAGAUACACUAUUAUAAGGUUAAUUUGAAUGAGAUUCAAACUAAAACUAUAUAAUGUGAGAGAAUUAAAUUAUUUGAAUAUAAUUCAAAUAAUUAGUCAAUUUAAUAUAAGAUAUUAAAAUGAAUGGAUAAGGUUGACCUAAUUAAGCACCUAUAUAUACAACCUUACAGAGGUGGAAAAAAAGGUGAUUCAUUCCAAAAAAAUCUUGCACUCUGCAUAACUCUCCUACUUCCAAGGAAAAUCACAGAGAAAAGUUAUACUUGAUUUUUCCACUUCUUUUCUUCUCUUCUUUUAAAGAGACUCCCAUAGGCUUGAUUUCCCGCCAUAUACAUAGUAAGAAAGACCUUGUGGUGGUGGAUUUAUUGGAUGAAGGCAGAUCACAAGAGUUCUCAAUGGCACGUACUUCAAAGUUUCCUUGUAAUGGCAUUUGGAUCUUUAAAGAAGAAUUAUGAGGAGGUCAAAGCUAUUUCUGAGAAGCAAGAAUCAAGGUCCAUCAAUAUGAAGCUAAAGUUUAGAGCUUGACUAUUGGCUACUCUCAAGUUAGAACGCUGGUUCUUCUUUGGCAUCUCUCAAACUCCUUCCAACAAAUGCAACCAUUGGUGGGUCAUUUUGACUUUAAGUCUUUUAUGUACCCUUGUCUCCUUUUUGCUUUUCCUUGAUGUUGUCAUUGAGUUGUAUAAGAUUCAAUAUCACCAUGACAUGAUUUGUAAGAAAUUAGCUGAAAUUAGCCAACAAAUUUUGGCAGCAAAAGGCCAUGAUGAUGUUGGUCUAUUAGUGGAGAAUGGAGGGGAAUUUAGUGAUGAUGGAUUUGAAUUGAGUGUCCAUGUGACGAUGCUCAUGUUUGAGGAGUUUAGAAUUGGUUGGGAGAAAGUUUUCAUCUACUUCAGUGCUUGUGUUUUGCUUGUUGUUACUGUUAUUGAUUUAUAUGCUUGUGAGUACUUGUUAUGCAA
This is a long non-coding RNA of Benincasa hispida (wax gourd), 3397 nucleotides long. RefSeq lists it as uncharacterized. NCBI's taxonomy places the organism in Eukaryota, Viridiplantae, Streptophyta, Magnoliopsida, Cucurbitales, Cucurbitaceae. The record is from RefSeq and is a predicted model, not a curated record.